GAUGAAGAACGUAGCAAAAUGCGAUAAGUAAUGUGAAUUGCAGAAUUCAGUGAAUCAUCGAAUCUUUGAACGCACAUUGCGCCCGUUGGUAUUCCGGCGGGCAUGCCUGUUCGAGCGUCAUUUCAACCCUCAAGCCCCCGGGUUUGGUGUUGGGGAUCGGCUCUGCCCUUCUGGGCGGUGCCGCCCCCGAAAUACAUUGGCGGUCUCGCUGCAGCCUCCAUUGCGUAGUAGCUAACACCUCGCAACUGGAACGCGGCGCGGCCAUGCCGUAAAACCCCAACUUCUGAAUGUUGACCUCGGAUCAGGUAGGAAUACCCGCUGAACUUAAGCAUAUCAAUAAGCGGAGGA
Molecule: unclassified non-coding RNA, 348 nt
Filed under: soil metagenome
Description: partial contains 5.8S ribosomal RNA, internal transcribed spacer 2, and large subunit ribosomal RNA
Rfam family: 5.8S ribosomal RNA (bases 1-120)
Source: RNAcentral